Molecule: ribosomal RNA, 1164 nt
Filed under: Stenotrophomonas maltophilia
Lineage: Bacteria; Pseudomonadati; Pseudomonadota; Gammaproteobacteria; Lysobacterales; Lysobacteraceae
Description: bacterial LSU rRNA
Rfam family: Bacterial large subunit ribosomal RNA
Source: RNAcentral
AGCUGAAGAGGGUCGCAGUAACCAGGCCGCUGCGACUGUUUAUCAAAAACACAGCACUCUGCAAACACGAAAGUGGACGUAUAGGGUGUGACGCCUGCCCGGUGCUGGAAGGUUAAUUGAUGGGGUCAGCCGCAAGGCGAAGCUCUUGAUCGAAGCCCCAGUAAACGGCGGCCGUAACUAUAACGGUCCUAAGGUAGCGAAAUUCCUUGUCGGGUAAGUUCCGACCUGCACGAAUGGCGUAACGACAGCGGCGCUGUCUCCACCCGAGACUCAGUGAAAUUGAAAUCGCUGUGAAGAUGCAGCGUUCCCGUGGCAAGACGGAAAGACCCCGUGAACCUUUACUAUAGCUUUACACUGAACGUUGAGUUCGUCUGUGUAGGAUAGGUGGGAGGCUAUGAAACCAUGGCGCUAGCUGUGGUGGAGCCAUCCUUGAAAUACCACCCUGUCGUGCUUGACGUUCUAACCUGGGUCCAUUAUCUGGGUCGGGGACCGUGUAUGGUGGGUAGUUUGACUGGGGCGGUCUCCUCCUAAAGAGUAACGGAGGAGCUCGAAGGUACGCUCAGCGCGGUCGGACAUCGCGCACUGUGUGCAAAGGCAUAAGCGUGCUUGACUGCAAGAUCGACGGAUCAAGCAGGUAGGAAACUAGGACUUAGUGAUCCGGUGGUUCUGUAUGGAAGGGCCAUCGCUCAACGGAUAAAAGGUACUCCGGGGAUAACAGGCUGAUACCGCCCAAGAGUUCAUAUCGACGGCGGUGUUUGGCACCUCGAUGUCGGCUCAUCACAUCCUGGGGCUGUAGUCGGUCCCAAGGGUAUGGCUGUUCGCCAUUUAAAGUGGUACGCGAGCUGGGUUCAGAACGUCGUGAGACAGUUCGGUCCCUAUCUGCCAUGGGCGUUGGAGAUUUGAGAGGGGCUGCUCCUAGUACGAGAGGACCGGAGUGGACGAACCUCUGGUGUUCCGGUUGUCACGCCAGUGGCAUUGCCGGGUAGCUAUGUUCGGAAGCGAUAACCGCUGAAAGCAUCUAAGCGGGAAGCGCGCCUCAAGAUGAGAUCUCCCGGGGCACAAGCCCCCUGAAGGAACCAUGUAGACUACGUGGUUGAUAGGUCAGGUGUGUAAGUACAGCAAUGUAUUGAGCUAACUGAUACUAAUGAUCCGUGCGGCUUGACC